RNAcentral lists this ribosomal RNA (444 nucleotides) under uncultured bacterium. Its description in RNAcentral is "partial 16S ribosomal RNA". It matches the Rfam family "Bacterial small subunit ribosomal RNA", at positions 338 to 795 of the family's 1533-position model. The record is from RNAcentral.
CCUACGGUGAGGCAGCAGUGGGGAAUAUUGCACAAUGGGCGAAAGCCUGAUGCAGCAACGCCGCGUGAAGGAAGAAGGGUUUCGGCUCGUAAACUUCUAUUAACAGGGACGAAAGAAAUGACGGUACCUGAUUAAGAAGCCUCGGCUAACUACGUGCCAGCAGCCGCGGUAAUACGUAGGGCGCAAGCGUUAUCCGGAAUUACUGGGUGUAAAGGGUGAGUAGGCGGCAUGGUAAGCCAGUCGGUAAAGCUUUGGGCUUAAACCGAGGAGUGCAUUUGGAACUAACGAGCUAGAGUACAGGAGAGGAAAGCGGAAUUCGUGGUGUAGCGGUGAAAUGCGUAGAUAUUAGGCAGAACACCAGUGGCGAAGGCAGCUUUCUGGACUGAAACUGACGCUGAGGCACGAAAGUGUGGGUAGCGAACAGGAUUAGAUACCCCUGUAGUC